GCACAAGCGGUGGAGCAUGUGGUUUAAUUCGACGCAACGCGCAGAACCUUACCAGCCCUUGACAUCCCGGUCGCGGAUUCCAGAGACGGAGUCCUUCAGUUCGGCUGGACCGGAGACAGGUGCUGCAUGGCUGUCGUCAGCUCGUGUCGUGAGAUGUUGGGUUAAGUCCCGCAACGAGCGCAACCCCCGUCCUUAGUUGCUACCAUUUAGUUGAGCACUCUAAGGAGACUGCCGGUGAUAAGCCGCGAGGAAGGUGGGGAUGACGUCAAGUCCUCAUGGCCCUUACGGGCUGGGCUACACACGUGCUACAAUGGCGGUGACAAUGGGACGCUAAGGGGCAACCCUUCGCAAAUCUCAAAAAGCCGUCUCAGUUCGGAUUGGGCUCUGCAACUCGAGCCCAUGAAGUUGGAAUCGCUAGUAAUCGUGGAUCAGCACGCCACGGUGAAUACGUUCCCGGGC
Molecule: ribosomal RNA, 459 nt
Filed under: uncultured bacterium
Lineage: Bacteria
Description: bacterial SSU rRNA
Rfam family: Bacterial small subunit ribosomal RNA
Source: RNAcentral